ACUACAACCGGGGCGUCGCUGAAAAUGAUUGUGAGAGUUUGUUUACAGACUGCUGUUGUCACUGUUGCAAACUCUCAUAUACAUAAAUAAUUAAUCGAAAAAUAUAAUUUCCCUGCAGCCAGUGGUCCCCCUUCCCAAUGUAGCCCUUAGUUGGGUUGGUCUGUUUGUAUACAGUAACAGGUCAUCCAGCUUCACGCAGACAGUUCACCACGCGACCGGCGGCGAAUACAAGCUGUAUAUAGACUCUCAGCAGUGUCAGAACCGGACGCGACAGAGUAUCACCUGGCGUCAACGCAGUCUCAUUCAUCCCCUGGAUUUCUUUUGGUGGGAGCGCAUAGAGCCGAGCCGAGCCUCAUCUGACUGAUGCAAACAGUGCAUACGAUGAAGAUUUAUUGGAUUCUUGCACUAUUUCUAACUGGUGCUUCCUCCAUUACUGUGAUGCUGAAUCACCCAGCAUCAUUUCCUUGUGGCAGCGGUGAAAAAGUCAUGUGGAGGAAGACCUUCCCCAUAGAAGCAACUGUUGCUAAAUGCCAAAAGCAGAAAUGCAUUAUUGAUGAAAGUUUUCGGGAAAGAUUUGCAGUCAAGCGUGAAAACAACUCUCUAUUUCUCAAGGCAGCUAAAUACAAUGACCUGGGGCAAUACGAGUGCAGCUGUGAUGGCUUAAUCAAGCAAAUUAAACGG
Molecule: long non-coding RNA, 681 nt
Organism: Cyprinus carpio (common carp)
Lineage: Eukaryota; Metazoa; Chordata; Actinopteri; Cypriniformes; Cyprinidae
Exons: 4
Source: RefSeq, a predicted model, not a curated record